This 253-nucleotide ribosomal RNA is filed under the name uncultured bacterium. RNAcentral's name for it is "partial 16S ribosomal RNA". It matches the Rfam family "Bacterial small subunit ribosomal RNA", at positions 524 to 776 of the family's 1533-position model. The record is from RNAcentral.
UACGUAGGUCGCAAGCGUUGUCCGGAUUUACUGGGCGUAAAGAGCGCGCAGGCGGCUGGUCAAGUCCGAUGUGAAAUCUCCCGGCUCAACUGGGAAACUGCAUCGGAAACUGAUCGGCUUGAAGAUGGGAGAGGGUAGUGGAAUUCCCGGUGUAGUGGUGAAAUGCGUAGAUAUCGGGAGGAACGCCCGUGGCGAAAGCGAGGUCCUGGACGCCUACUGACGCUGAGACGCGAAAGCCAGGGGAGCGAACGGG